GGCACGCGUAGAGCGAUCCGGCGGGGUCGAGCUUCUCCAACAGGUCCGGGAAGCGCCCCAGGCUCAGGUAGGUCGAUUCGAGGCCGAUGCGUUCGUC
RNAcentral lists this transfer RNA (97 nucleotides) under Lentzea cavernae. RNAcentral describes it as "tRNA-Trp". The record is from RNAcentral. Lineage: Bacteria; Bacillati; Actinomycetota; Actinomycetes; Pseudonocardiales; Pseudonocardiaceae.